GACGAACGCUGGCGGCGUGCUUAACACAUGCAAGUCGAGCGAUGAAGCUCCUUCGGGAGUGGAUUAGCGGCGGACGGGCGAGUAACACGUGGGUAACCUGCCUCAUAGAGGGGAAUAGCCUUCCGAAAGGAAGAUUAAUACCGCAUAAGAUUGUAGCGUCGCAUGAAGCAGCAAUUAAAGGAGCAAUCCGCUAUGAGAUGGACCCGCGUCGCAUUAGCUAGUUGGUGAGGUAACGGCUCACCAAGGCGACGAUGCGUAGCCGACCUGAGAGGGUGAUCGGCCACAUUGGGACUGAGACACGGCCCAGACUCCUACGGGAGGCAGCAGUGGGGAAUAUUGCACAAUGGGGGAAACCCUGAUGCAGCAACGCCGCGUGAGUGAUGACGGUCUUCGGAUUGUAAAACUCUGUCUUCAGGGACGAUAAUGACGGUACCUGAGGAGGAAGCCACGGCUAACUACGUGCCAGCCGCCGCAGUAA
Molecule: ribosomal RNA, 478 nt
Filed under: uncultured bacterium
Lineage: Bacteria
Description: partial 16S ribosomal RNA
Rfam family: Bacterial small subunit ribosomal RNA
Source: RNAcentral